CGCUGGGAACGGCCGCGCCCCCGAGGCCCCGCCCCUCCAUGACACCUGCUGAGCCAAGCCGGCUGAGAGAUCCGGAGGUCCUCCUAACUCCUUGGCCUCCUUCCUUCGACCCCACAACGUGGGCAGCCGCUGGGCUUGGUGUGGCCUGAGGACACCCACCCAGACACAAAAGUACUGAGACCUGAGUGAAAAUUCGGGGAUAGAACCUCCUUGGACCUGAAAACCUGAGCCAUUCAGACUUCAACUCCCAAGACCCAUGGGCCCAACAGCAGACUGGCACUGGCCCAGCAAACAAACACUGCCACAGACAAGUCCCGCUCACCCUAAGGGGGUCCCUCGAUACCCUGGCUCCUGGGUCUAUAGCUAUCUGAUCCUGGCUCCUAAUUUAUGAGGUCUACCUGGUCUCAGACUAAGGCCUCACCCUAACUAGUUGUCCCAGGAGGCGGUGAACUCCUGGAUAUUGUCACUCUCCCGCCCUUUUUCCACAUUGUUCCCUCAGCUGUGGGACAGGCUAGGCUAGCUUAGAGCCAGGAAUGGCAAGCCAGGAAUCUUGCCCUACUACAAGGAGCAGUCCCAGGUUGGGUCGAUGGGUGACAGUGUCUUUGUGCCCAGAAAUUCUCAGUCCCAGAAGCUCAGCUUUAGGCCUGUCACAACAGCAGAAGUACAAAUGAGUUACCAACAACUCAGCCAGAAGAUCUCUGAGCCACUGUGACUCUUAUUCAGGUGACCCAGGUCCUUGACAUGCACCACAAAGAAUUCCAAAACCAGUAGGAAUGAAGUUAGUUUAUUAAGCAUACAAAUGAGAGGCAGGCACUCAAGAGCCAAGCACCAGCCAUAGUAAUGUGCCUACCUGCCUGAGCAGUAGCUAUGUGUGCAACUUGGAGGAAUUUUGAAGCUGUUUAACCUACAAAUAAACUAAUUUUAGAUAUA
This is a non-coding RNA of Myodes glareolus (Bank vole), 930 nucleotides long. The record is from RefSeq and is a predicted model, not a curated record. Lineage: Eukaryota; Metazoa; Chordata; Mammalia; Rodentia; Cricetidae.